UACGAAGGGGGCUAGCGUUGCUCGGAAUCACUGGGCGUAAAGCGCACGUAGGCGGCUUUCUAAGUCAGGGGUGAAAUCCUGGAGCUCAACUCCAGAACUGCCUUUGAUACUGGAGAGCUUGAGUCCGGAAGAGGUGAGUGGAACUCCGAGUGUAGAGGUGAAAUUCGUAGAUAUCGGGAGGAACACCAGUGGCGAAGGCGGCUCACUGGCCCGAUACUGACGCUGAGGCACGAAAGCGUGGGGAGCAAACAGG
RNAcentral lists this ribosomal RNA (253 nucleotides) under uncultured bacterium. Its description in RNAcentral is "partial 16S ribosomal RNA". It matches the Rfam family "Bacterial small subunit ribosomal RNA", at positions 524 to 776 of the family's 1533-position model. The record is from RNAcentral.